AGGGUGUAAACGCUGCGGGCUUGGUGCUGGGGGUCCUUAGUGGGCGCCCAGUGCCGGAGAGAAGUUGUUAAGCCUGCUGCUUGGGGAGUAUGUCCGCAAGGAUGAAACUUAAAGGAAUUGGCGGGGGAGCACCGCAACGGGAGGAGCGUGCGGUUCAAUUGGAUUCAACGCCGGACAACUCACCAGGAGCGACGGUUACAUGAAGGCCAGGCUGAUGACCUUGCCUGAUUUUCUGAGAGGUGGUGCAUGGCGUAGACGUCU
RNAcentral lists this ribosomal RNA (261 nucleotides) under uncultured archaeon. RNAcentral describes it as "partial 16S ribosomal RNA". It matches the Rfam family "Archaeal small subunit ribosomal RNA", at positions 748 to 1009 of the family's 1478-position model. The record is from RNAcentral.